UACGAAGGGGGCGAGCGUUGUUCGGAUUUACUGGGCGUAAAGGGCGCGCAGGCGGCUUUGCAAGUUAGAGGUGAAAGCCCGGGGCUCAACUCCGGAAUUGCCUUUAAAACUGCAUCGCUAGAAUUGUGGAGAGGUAAGUGGAAUUCCGAGUGUAGAGGUGAAAUUCGUAGAUAUUCGGAAGAACACCAGUGGCGAAGGCGACUUACUGGACACAUAUUGACGCUGAGGUGCGAAAGCGUGGGGAGCAAACAGG
This 253-nucleotide ribosomal RNA is filed under the name uncultured bacterium. RNAcentral describes it as "partial 16S ribosomal RNA". It matches the Rfam family "Bacterial small subunit ribosomal RNA", at positions 524 to 776 of the family's 1533-position model. The record is from RNAcentral.